Molecule: ribosomal RNA, 1507 nt
Filed under: Candidatus Arthromitus sp. SFB-rat-Yit
Lineage: Bacteria; Bacillati; Bacillota; Clostridia; Eubacteriales; Clostridiaceae
Description: bacterial SSU rRNA
Rfam family: Bacterial small subunit ribosomal RNA
Source: RNAcentral
AGAGUUUGAUCCUGGCUCAGGACGAACGCUGGCGGCGUGCCUAACACAUGCAAGUUGAGCGGAGGUAGAUGGAGCUUGCUCUAUGUACCUUAGCAGCGAACGGGUGAGUAACACGUAGAUAAUCUGUCCUAUAUUGGGGGAUAGCCCGAUGAAAGUUGGAUUAAUACCGCAUACAGCUAUAUAGUUGCAUGAUUAUAUAGUGAAAGAUUUAUUGAUAUAGGAGGAGUCUGCGGCACAUUAGCUAGUAGGUGAGGUAAGAGCUUACCUAGGCGACGAUGUGUAGCCGGUCUGAGAGGAUGAACGGCCACAAUGGAACUGAGACACGGUCCAUACUCCUACGGGAGGCAGCAGUGGGGAAUAUUGCACAAUGGGGGAAACCCUGAUGCAGCAACGCCGCGUGAGUGAAGAAGGUUUUCGGAUUGUAAAGCUCUGUUAGCAGGGAAGAGGAAGGACGGUACCUGCAGAGGAAGCCACGGCUAACUACGUGCCAGCAGCCGCGGUAAUACGUAGGUGGCAAGCGUUGUUCGGAAUAACUGGGCGUAAAGGAUGCGUAGGCGGUUAAAUAAGUUAUAUGUUAAAUAUAUAGGCUUAACCUGUAGAAAGCAUAUAAAACUGUUUAACUAGAGUGCAGGAGAGGUAAGUGGAAUUCCUAGUGUAGCGGUGAAAUGCGUAGAGAUUAGGAAGAACACCAGUGGCGAAGGCGACUUACUGGACUGUAACUGACGCUGAGGCAUGAGAGCAUGGGGAGCAAACAGGAUUAGAUACCCUGGUAGUCCAUGCUGUAAACGAUGGGUACUAGGUGUGGGUUGUGAAUAACAAUCCGUGCCGUCGCAAACGCAAUAAGUACCCCGCCUGAGGAGUACGAUCGCAAGAUUAAAACUCAAAGGAAUUGACGGGGACCCGCACAAGCAGCGGAGCAUGUGGUUUAAUUCGAAGCAACGCGAAGAACCUUACCUAAACUUGACAUACCUUGAAUUACCUUGUAAUGAGGGAAGCUCGCAAGAGCAAGGAUACAGGUGGUGCAUGGUUGUCGUCAGCUCGUGUCGUGAGAUGUUGGGUUAAGUCCCGCAACGAGCGCAACCCUUGUUGUUAAUUGCUAACAGGUUAAGCUGAGCACUUUAGCGAGACAGCCUAGGUUAACUAGGAGGAAGGUGGGGAUGACGUCAAAUCAUCAUGCCCCUUACGUUUAGGGCUACACACGUGCUACAAUGGUGAGAACAAAGAGAAGCAAGCUAGCGAUAGUGAGCAAAACUUAUAAAACUCAUCUCAGUUCGGAUUGCAGGCUGAAACUCGCCUGUAUGAAGAUGGAGUUGCUAGUAAUCGCGAAUCAGAAUGUCGCGGUGAAUACGUUCCCGGGUCUUGUACACACCGCCCGUCACACCAUGAGAGUUGGCAACACCCGAAACCUGUGGGCUAACCGAAAGGAGGCAGCAGUCUAAGGUGGGGUCAGUGAUUGGGGUGAAGUCGUAACAAGGUAGCCGUAGGAGAACCUGCGGCUGGAUCACCU